Molecule: ribosomal RNA, 3387 nt
Filed under: sea squirt metagenome
Description: eukaryotic LSU rRNA
Rfam family: Eukaryotic large subunit ribosomal RNA
Source: RNAcentral
CAUCCAGACGGUGGACCACUCGGCUCGCGUGUCGAAGAAGGACGCAGCAAGCUGCGUUACUUGAUGUGAAUUGCAGAAUACCUCGAUCGUCGACUCUCCGAAUGUGCAUGACGGCCGGCCGCCGGUCGGCCGGGUUCGCUUCAGUGUCGUUCGAAAAACGAAAAGAGACAAGAGAAGGUGCUCGCAUACGAUGUACCCCCGCGCGAGGGGACAGAGAAGGAGAAGACGACGGCUCGCACCGUGGGCGGCCGAGGCGUGCAGGCGCAAGCCGGUACGAGAGACGGCGGGGCAGCCUCGAGCCGCGAGAGCCGAAGGAGCACGAGAAAGACGGCAAAGUGACCUGAAGUCGAGCCCGACAACCCGCUGAAUUUAAGCAUAUAACUAAGCGGUGGAAAAGAAACCAACUGGGAUUCUCCCAGUAACGGCGAGUGAAUGGAGAGACGGCGAUCGUACGAAGAGCCCAGCGCCGAAUCCGCCCGCACACUGCGCGGGAGGGGAACUGUGGCGUAUGGACCGUCGUCUGCUGCCAGCGGCCGUCGACCUCGUCCGGGCGCACCGCGUUCCACGAUUGGAGUCUCGAAACCCCGCGGCGGGUGGAGGGCCCUGAUCGGGUGCGUCGCUGCGGACGGCAGGCGGCCGCCUAGGCGCGGCGGUUCGAGAGUAGCGUUGCUUGAGAUUGCAGCGCGAAGUGCGGUGGUACGCUCCACCGAAGGCUCGAUACUCGGACGCGAGACCGACAGAGGACAAGUACCGCGAGGGAAAGUCGAAAAGGACUCUGAAGAGAGAGUCAAAGAGAACGCGAAACCGUCCUGGACGAACGGAGAAAACGUGUCGGCGAGUCGGCAUCCGCUUCGGCCUCGACCGGUCCCUUGGCGCCGCGUUCGCGCGCGGAGCCUUGGAGCCUGCCGUUCGGAGGUGCGACGACCGAAUCCCGAAGUCGGGCCCGUACCUGACGGGCGCGAGAAGCCUCGUUCCGGCCUUCGCGGGCCGGGCUGGCGACGCGCCCCGAACCCGAGGGUCGCCGGACGGAGGGCGGAGGUCGCUCGAGCGCAUCACGACUGUCGCCGCUUACGACCCGUCUUGAAACACGGACCGAGGAGUCUAACGCAUGCGCGAGUUCUGAGACUCGAAAAUGUCAAGGUAAAGCGGAGCGAAGACGAAGCCGAGAAGCGCCGGCCCCUUCGCGGGCCGGACGCGGGAGCGGCGCCGGGGGUCGUCGGCGACCUCCAGACGAAGCGCAGACGAAAGGACCCGAAAGAUGGUGAACUACGCUCGAGCAGGCUGAAGCCGGACGAAAGUCCGGUGGAGGGCCGAAUGCGAUUCUGACGUGCAAAUCGAUCGCCCGACUCGCGUGUAGGGGCGAAAGACCAAUCGAACCAUCUAAUAGCUGGUUCCCGCCGAAGUUUCCCUCAGGAUAGCCGGCGCAACGAACGAGAUACAGUCGUGUCUGGUAAAGCAACGACAAGAGCCGACGGGGAGCAACGUUCCUCGAUCUAUACUCGAACUUGAAAUUGGCAAGAGGGGACGCGGUUGCAGGCGAACCGGUCCCGGCGUUAAAAUCGAACGAUGCAGUGUGCCGAGUGGGCCACUUUUGGUAAGCAGAACUGGCGAUGCGGGAUGAACCGAACGGACGGGGUGUCGGCGCCCGACGAGACGCUAAUCAGAGCCCAAAAAAGGUGUCGAUCGGUAGAGACAGCAGGACGGUGGCCAUGGAAGUCGGCAGCCGCUAAGGAGUGUGUAACGACUCACCUGCCGAAUCGAUCGGCCCUGAAAACGGAUGGCGCUGGAGCGUCGGGCCCGUGCCCUCCCGUUGGCCCGGUGAAGCGGAUCGGCCGUCUCCCCUCGAGGCGACGACCGACGGAUCGUACGGGCGAACGAGUAGGCGGGCACGCCGACGGGCGACGAAGGUCGGACGCGAGUCCGGCUGGAGCAGUCGGCGCAGCAGAUCUCGGUGGCAGUAGCAAACAUUCAAGCGAGAGCCUCUCGAAGGCCGAAGCGGAGCAGGGCUCCAGGAGACCGUGGAUCGAUCGUGGUCUAGCCGCGCCUAAGCAGGACGGCGAAGGCCACCUCAAGCAGGGUCCGUUCCGCCCGUUCGGACCUCUGCCGGCAAAAGGGAGUCGGGCAUCGAUUCCCGGGCCUCGUGCGGAGAUUUGCCCGUCCUCGCGGACGGGCCAAGCGGCAACGCAUUGCCAAACUCGGAGACGACGACCCGGGCCCCGGGAAGAGUUAUCUUUUCUUGGCAAGGCAGCCUGGUAGUACGCCGACCCCGGAAUCGCGUCGAGCGGAGAUGGGGUGGGCGGCGCGGCCGACAAGCGACGUUCUCUCGAGCGUCGUCCGGUGCGUCCCGGGUCGUCCCUUGAAAAUCCGAGCAAGUGCUAGACAAUCUCGUGCGAGCGCGUACCGAUCGAACCGCAUCAGGUCUCCGAGGCGAGAAGCCUCUGGUCGAUGGAACAAUGCAGACAAGGGAAGUCGGCAAGACGGAUCCGUACCUUCGGUAGAAGGAUUGGCUUUUGUUGGCGUGGCCGGUCGAAGGGCGGCGUUCGUGUCCUCGCGGCCGCCGUCGGAGACGAGGCCGGUCGGCCCGGCCCUUCCGAGAGGGGGGCCGGGCGCGCACCCGGUCGGAGUCGAAGCGGCGCGCGGCGGGACUGACGCCGUCGCGAAAGGGCCGGCCAAGUAUCGUCGAGACCGAGAACUGUGACGGACAAAGGGAAUCCGACUGUUUAAUUAAAACAGAGCCUUGCGCCAGCCGGCGACCGGUGCGGACGCAAAGUGAUUUCUGCCCAGUGCUCUGAAUGUCAAAGUGAAGAAGUUCGAACAAGCGCGGGUAAACGGCGGGAGUAACUAUGACUCUCUUAUGGUAGCCAAAUGCCUCGUCAUCUGAUUAGUGACGCGCAUGAAUGGAUUAACGAGAUUCCCACUGUCCCUGACUGCUAUCUAGCGAAACCACAGCCAAGGGAACGGGCUUGGUAAACGUGUCGGCGGGGAAAGAAGACCCUGUUGAGCUUGACUCUAGUCUUUGAGACUGUACAGACUCGUCGGCGGUAAAGCGUAAGUGGGAGGUCGUCGCCCUUUCGGGGGCGGCGGCCGACGAUGUAACACCACUACGCCGUUCGCGUCUCUACUCACUUCAUUGUGUGUCGGUUUUGAAUCGUUGUCGGACAGAGCGCCGGCGGCCCGCCAGGGCGCGGCCGGCGCCAGAUACGUGAAGCACUCCUCUCAGUCGGGGAGUUUGACUGGGGCGGUACAUCUGUCAAAGCGUAACGCAGGUGUCCCAAGGCGGGCUCGGUCGGGACGGAAACCUGACGUCGAACAAAAGGGCAAAUGCCCGCUCGAUCGGAAUCUUCAGUACGAAUGACGACCGCGAAAGCGCGGCCUAUCGAUCCUUUC